RNAcentral lists this ribosomal RNA (822 nucleotides) under uncultured bacterium. Its description in RNAcentral is "bacterial SSU rRNA". It matches the Rfam family "Bacterial small subunit ribosomal RNA", at positions 8 to 812 of the family's 1533-position model. The record is from RNAcentral.
AGAGUUUGAUCCUGGCUCAGAAUGAACGCGGGCGGCGUGCCUAAUACAUGCAAGUCGAACGCACAGCGAAAGGUGCUGCACCCUUUCAAGUGAGUGGCGAACGGGUGAGUAACACGUGGAUAACCUACCUCAAGGUUGGGGAUAACAUUUGGAAACAGAUGCUAAUACCGAAUAAAACUUCGUAUCGCAUGAUACAAGGUUAAAAGGCGCUACGGCGUCACCUAGAGAUGGAUCCGCGGUGCAUUAGUUAGUUGGUGGGGUAAAGGCCUACCAAGACAAUGAUGCAUAGCCGAGUUGAGAGACUGAUCGGCCACAUUGGGACUGAGACACGGCCCAAACUCCUACGGGAGGCUGCAGUAGGGAAUCUUCCACAAUGGGCGAAAGCCUGAUGGAGCAACGCCGCGUGUGUGAUGAAGGCUUUCGGGUCGUAAAGCACUGUUGUAUGGGAAGAACAGCUAGAGUAGGGAAUGACUUUAGUUUGACGGUACCAUACCAGAAAGGGACGGCUAGAUACGUGCCAGCAGCCGCGGUAAUACGUAUGUCCCGAGCGUUAUCCGGAUUUAUUGGGCGUAAAGCGAGCGCAGACGGUUGAUUAAGUCUGAUGUGAAAGCCCGGAGCUCAACUCCGGAAAGGCAUUGGAAACUGGUCAACUUGAGUGCAGUAGAGGUAAGUGGAACUCCAUGUGUAGCGGUGGAAUGCGUAGAUAUAUGGAAGAACACCAGCGGCGAAGGCGGCUUACUGGACUGUAACUGACGUUGAGGCUCGAAAGUGUGGGUAGCAAACAGGAUUAGAUACCCUGGUAGUCCACACCGUAAACGAUGA